GACGAACGCUGGCGGCGUGCUUAACACAUGCAAGUCGAACGCUGAAGCUUGGUGCUUGCACUGGGUGGAUGAGUGGCGAACGGGUGAGUAAUAAGUGAGUAACCUGCCCUUGACUCUGGGAUAAGCCUGGGAAACUGGGUCUAAUACUGGAUACGACAUGUCACCGCAUGGUGGUGUGUGGAAAGGGUUUUACUGGUUUUGGAUGGGCUCACGGCCUAUCAGCUUGUUGGUGGGGUAAUGGCUCACCAAGGCGACGACGGGUAGUCGGCCUGAGAGGGUGACCGGCCACACUGGGACUGAGACACGGCCCAGACUCCUACGGGAGGCAGCAGUGGGGAAUAUUGCACAAUGGGCGGAAGCCUGAUGCAGCGACGCCGCGUGAGGGAUGACGGCCUUCGGGUUGUAAACCUCUUUCAGCACGGAAGAAGCGAAAGUGACGGUACGUGCAGAAGAAGCGCCGGCUAACUACGUG
This 472-nucleotide ribosomal RNA is filed under the name uncultured bacterium. Its description in RNAcentral is "partial 16S ribosomal RNA". It matches the Rfam family "Bacterial small subunit ribosomal RNA", at positions 28 to 507 of the family's 1533-position model. The record is from RNAcentral.